RNAcentral lists this transfer RNA (76 nucleotides) under Sulfuricaulis sp. Its description in RNAcentral is "tRNA-Cys". It matches the Rfam family "tRNA". Rfam says of the family: Transfer RNA (tRNA) molecules are approximately 80 nucleotides in length. Their secondary structure includes four short double-helical elements and three loops (D, anti-codon, and T loops). Further hydrogen bonds mediate the characteristic L-shaped molecular structure. tRNAs have two regions of fundamental functional importance: the anti-codon, which is responsible for specific mRNA codon recognition, and the 3' end, to which the tRNAs corresponding amino acid is attached (by aminoacyl-tRNA synthetases). tRNAs cope with the degeneracy of the genetic code in two manners: having more than one tRNA (with a specific anti-codon) for a particular amino acid; and 'wobble' base-pairing, i.e. permitting non-standard base-pairing at the 3rd anti-codon position. The record is from RNAcentral. Lineage: Bacteria; Pseudomonadati; Pseudomonadota; Gammaproteobacteria; Acidiferrobacterales; Acidiferrobacteraceae.
CACGACGUGCCCGAGCAGCCAAGGGACCAGCCUGCAAAGCUGAGGGUCGCGGGUGCAAGUCCCGCCGUCGUGUCCA